AUGAAUCUAACAGUCGAACGAGCCAAUCAUCGUUUAACAAGUUCCUCAACACAACGCUAAGCAUAAUCCGACACUACAGUACAUUUCCGAAGGCCAUUUUAUUUCCAAAAGAUAUCUCACUAAUCGACACGAUCAAUACGAACGUUACAAACCAUCGACAACCAUGAACGUUCUACCAAAAGCUCAAAACAAAUUAGUACAGGCUAUAAGGAGAAAGGACUGGCCAGCAGUAACAAACAUCCUUGAAAAUGAACCUCAUCUUAUUGAAACGAAGGAUGAGGCAAGUACUAAGUUAAAUUUAUGAAGUGAUUUUCUUGAUUUCAGAAUUUUUAUUGGAUCAUAUUUUUAAAAUAAGAUACAGUCCCAACACAACACACAGUUCACAAUUAUUUGCACAAAAUAUGUGUACCUAUUUUCUGGGGUUUUCUUAUGAUUAAAAAAAAUUUAAUCUGCCUUACAGAAUUGAAAACAAAAUUGUCAUUCUCUUUAAUUAAUUAAAAACUGUGCGGUUUAAUAUUCAAAACGUUCGCGAAGACUACUUAGAACUAAAUAAAUCGGUCU
Long non-coding RNA from Anneissia japonica, 561 nucleotides. RefSeq lists it as uncharacterized. NCBI's taxonomy places the organism in Eukaryota, Metazoa, Echinodermata, Crinoidea, Comatulida, Comatulidae. The record is from RefSeq and is a predicted model, not a curated record. The transcript is spliced from 3 exons.